UACGUAGGGGGCGAGCGUUGUCCGGAUUUACUGGGCGUAAAGAGUGCGUAGGUGGUUUUACAAGUCAGAUGUGAAAUGCCGCAGCUUAACUGCGGAGCUGCAUCUGAAACUGUAGGACUAGAGUACAGGAGGGGAAAGCGGAAUUCCUAGUGGAGCGGUGAAAUGCGUAGAGAUUAGGAGGAACACCGGUGGCGAAGGCGGCUUUCUGGACUGCAACUGACACUGAUGCACGAAAGCGUGGGUAGCAAACAGGAUUAGAUACCCUGGUAGUCCACGCCGUAAACGAUGGAUACUAGGUGUGGGGUCGAAAAGGCUCCGUGCCGCAGCUAACGCAAUAAGUAUCCCGCCUGGGGAGUACGGCCGCAAGGUUGAAACUCAAAGGAAUUGACGGGGGCCCGCACAAGCAGCGGAGCAUGUGGUUUAAUUCGAAGCAACGCGAAAAACCUUACCAGAACUUGACAUCCCGAUGAACAAUGUGGAGACAUAUUGGGCUUACGCAAGUAAGACAUUGGAGACAGGUGGUGCAUGGUU
Molecule: ribosomal RNA, 531 nt
Filed under: uncultured bacterium
Lineage: Bacteria
Description: bacterial SSU rRNA
Rfam family: Bacterial small subunit ribosomal RNA
Source: RNAcentral